GUGUCAGCCGCCGCGGUAAGACGUAGGGCGCAAGCGUUGUCCGGAUUUAUUGGGCGUAAAGAGCUCGUAGGCGGCCUGUCGCGUCGACUGUGAAAACUCACGGCUUAACCGUGGGACUGCAGUCGAUACGGGCAGGCUAGAGUUCGGUAGGGGAGACUGGAAUUCCUGGUGUAGCGGUGAAAUGCGCAGAUAUCAGGAGGAACACCGGUGGCGAAGGCGGGUCUCUGGGCCGAUACUGACGCUGAGGAGCGAAAGCGUGGGGAGCGAACAGGAUUAGAUACCCGCGUAGUCC
RNAcentral lists this ribosomal RNA (292 nucleotides) under uncultured bacterium. Its description in RNAcentral is "partial 16S ribosomal RNA". It matches the Rfam family "Bacterial small subunit ribosomal RNA", at positions 505 to 796 of the family's 1533-position model. The record is from RNAcentral.